AUGAACGCUGGCGGCGUGCCUCAUACCUGCCAGUCGAGCGCACGGACGAGAAGCUUGCUUCUCUGAUGUUAGCGGCGGACGGGUGAGUAACACGUGGAUAACCUACCUAUAAGACUGGGAUAACUUCGGGAAACCGUAGCUAAUACCGGAUAAUAUUUUGAACCGCAUGGUUCAAAAGUGAAAGACGGUCUUGCUGUCACUUAUAGAUGGAUCCGCGCUGCAUUAGCUAGUUGGUAAGGUAACGGCUUACCAAGGCAACGAUGCAUAGCCGACCUGAGAGGGUGAUCGGCCACACUGGAACUGAGACACGGUCCAGACUCCUACGGGAGGCAGCAGUAGGGAAUCUUCCGCAAUGGGCGAAAGCCUGACGGAGCAACGCCGCGUGAGUGAUGAAGGUCUUCGGAUCGUAAAACUCUGUUAUUAGGGAAGAACAUAUGUGUAAGUAACUGUGCACAUCUUGACGGUACCUAAUCAGAAAGCCACGGCUAACUACGUG
This 496-nucleotide ribosomal RNA is filed under the name uncultured bacterium. RNAcentral's name for it is "partial 16S ribosomal RNA". It matches the Rfam family "Bacterial small subunit ribosomal RNA", at positions 29 to 507 of the family's 1533-position model. The record is from RNAcentral.